UAAAUACACAGUGCUUGUCCUUGGCCUUUCUGUGGGCAUACCAGUGUCAGCUGCACUUGUAGGGGCCCAAGUGCCUCAUGACCCACUCCGCAGCCUUCCUCUCCAGGAUCCCCAAGGCUAGGAGGCCAACCUACUAACAGGUGGGUAUGGUGUGUGGUUUCACUCAGCUCUUCUCAUGGGGUUUCUCUGAGCUCCAUUCAUACCAGAAAGGGAGCAGGAGAGAGAGGACAAGUGGAUCCAACAGCCUUCGCUCCAGGGGAAUCAGGGCAUCGCCUCCUUUUCUGGGAGGACACUCCCUUCUGAUGGUGAAUGGGAACUCCCUUCCUCCUGCAGCAGCCUGCCUGCAGCCGUCCUGGUAGAACAGUGUGGACAUUGCAGAAGCUGUCACUGCCCCAGAAAGAAAGCACCCCAGAGCCAAGGCAAAGAGUCUUGAAAGCGCCACAAGCAGCAGCUGCUGAGCCAUGGCUGAAGGGGAAAUCACCACCUUCACAGCCCUGACCGAGAAGUUUAAUCUGCCUCCAGGGAAUUACAAGAAGCCCAAACUCCUCUACUGUAGCAACGGGGGCCACUUCCUGAGGAUCCUUCCGGAUGGCACAGUGGAUGGGACAAGGGACAGGAGCGACCAGCACAUUCAGCUGCAGCUCAGUGCGGAAAGCGUGGGGGAGGUGUAUAUAAAGAGUACCGAGACUGGCCAGUACUUGGCCAUGGACACCGACGGGCUUUUAUACGGCUCACAGACACCAAAUGAGGAAUGUUUGUUCCUGGAACGGCUGGAGGAGAACCAUUACAACACCUAUAUAUCCAAGAAGCAUGCAGAGAAGAAUUGGUUUGUUGGCCUCAAGAAGAAUGGAAGCUGCAAACGCGGUCCUCGGACUCACUAUGGCCAGAAAGCAAUCUUGUUUCUCCCCCUGCCAGUCUCUUCCGAUUAAAGAGAUCUGUUCUGGGUGUUGACCACUCCAGAGAAGUUUCGAGGGGUCCUCACCUGGUU
Molecule: small RNA, 988 nt
Filed under: Pan troglodytes (chimpanzee)
Lineage: Eukaryota; Metazoa; Chordata; Mammalia; Primates; Hominidae
Description: retained intron
Rfam family: FGF-1 internal ribosome entry site (IRES) (bases 249-415)
Source: RNAcentral